CGCAUCUGUGCAUGCAGCAUAUCAAUAAGCGGAGGAAAAGAAACUAACAAGGAUUCCCCUAGUAACGGCGAGUGAAGCGGGAAGAGCUCAAAUUUGAAAUCUUAAAGGGUUUCCCUUUACGAAUUGUAGUUUAAAGAAGUGUUUUCUGUUGAGGUUUUGGUAAAAGUUCUUUGGAAUAGGACAUCAUAGAGGGUGAGAAUCCCGUAUUUGACCUUUACUUUCAACUUUGUGAUACACUUUCAAAGAGUCGGAUUGUUUGGGAAUGCAGUCCAAAAUGGGUGGUAAAUUUCAUCUAAAGCUAAAUAUUGGCGAGAGACCGAUAGCGAACAAGUACCGUGAGGGAAAGAUGAAAAGAACUUUGAAAAGAGAGUUAAACAGUACGUGAAAUUGUCAAAAGGGAAGCGUUUGACACCAGUGUUGCUUUUCUGAAAAUCAAUUAAAGAACUGUUUAUGCUAAGCUGUUUAGACUUUAUCAGCUAAUCUGUUUAGUUUUGAGCUUUUCUUUAAUGCACUUUUCAGUUAACAAGUCAACAUCAAUUUCUUUUGCUGUAAAAAAGCUUGAGGAAGGUGGCUUGAGAUUCGUCUUAAGUGUUUAUAGCCUCUUGCCUAUGCAGUCGGAGAGAUUGAGGUCUGCAGCGUAGAUCCUUCGGGGCUAAAUGCAUUUGUGCUAAGUUAUAGCAUUUUAUAGACAACUUGUUGACUAUGAUUUGUCUUGUAGCUUACUCGCUUAUGUUAUUUUACCUACGCUUAGGAUGUUGAAUCGUAGAGCACGCAG
RNAcentral lists this ribosomal RNA (775 nucleotides) under uncultured Neocallimastigales. Its description in RNAcentral is "partial large subunit ribosomal RNA". It matches the Rfam family "Eukaryotic large subunit ribosomal RNA", at positions 26 to 628 of the family's 3401-position model. Lineage: Eukaryota; Fungi; Neocallimastigomycota; Neocallimastigomycetes; Neocallimastigales. The record is from RNAcentral.